RNAcentral lists this long non-coding RNA (1345 nucleotides) under Elaeis guineensis (African oil palm). Its description in RNAcentral is "long non-coding RNA (EGUI_LNC048666)". The record is from RNAcentral. Lineage: Eukaryota; Viridiplantae; Streptophyta; Magnoliopsida; Arecales; Arecaceae.
UCUUCAAUGCAGAUUUUUCAGUUUGAGUUUGUGUAGACUAUAGUGCUCUCCAGUUUUGUGUUCAAAUCUAAAAAACAUAUCAUCUGGCUAUAUAUUUUUGAUUGUUAUAAUUGCCAAACCAUCAACAUCUCCACUAUCUUCAUAUUCCACAGCCAUGUUUAAAAAAAAAAACAAAGUAAGAAUAGGCUUGCAAUCGAAACUAGAUCAUUAAAGAAUACAUAGGUAAUUGCAAUUCAUUUGGAUUAUGUCUAGAACCUUUUUUUUUUAAAUGGUACCUUCUAAAAAGAAUACUUAGGAAUGGGUUUGGCCAUUCAGGUCCCUAUACUAGGUUCUAAAUGGUCAGAAUUUAGUAAACAUAAAUCUAACCCAAAAAAUAGAACGAAUUCAAUUUUAGAACCUGACCCAACUCCAUGAUAGGUCUAGACAAGUCGGAUCGGGUCAGGUCGGAUCCGAUCAUGGGUCAACCCAUCCCAUUUGCCCCUAGUUGCAGUGGUUGUCUUCGCAGCCAUCCAAGUUGCUUUGUUAUGAACCUAUUUGGAUGGAAAAUAAGAGUCGACGACGGUUUAAGGUUUCAUCAACCCCAAGAAUCUCAUGAUUUAGGAUUUAGGUUUUGUGACCUCCAAGAGCCUACAUAUCUUGGGAUUAGGGAUUAAGGUUUACCCAUCAAGAAUCUAAGAUUCUCUAUUAAUUCCUGUGACCUUUGGACGGAAAUAAGAAAAAGCAUCAUCAUUAUCAUCACCUCUAAAAUAUUUAAAAGUUGAGAAAUUGAAGAAAUAAAGAUAAAAAAAAAGGUAAGAAGACAAAAGAACUGCCAUUUGAGUAGUUGAGCUAGUGGUGGACUAGGGGCUAUCAAUUAAGAUGAAAAAUCCGAUAGUAAAAAAGGAGCCACCACCUAGGGUUCUGUGAGAUGGAGCCAAUGGUGGUGCAGGGGACAGUAGAGGCGGGAGAGAUGGUGUUAGAAAAUUCAUCUCAAGAUUCGGUCUACACUAAGCCCACAGCAAGGUCUAGAACGGCGAAUGGAGUCUAACGAGUCCAAGAACAGCUCAAACAGAGUCCAGACGGUGAAGAUACGCAUGAAAGAAUGCUCGAAGCAGGUGGCAUGGCCCAUGAGGUGACAGAGGCCGAUGGUGGUGCAGUCGAGCCCGAUUCGCAUGUGGGCCCGACGGGCACGUGCUCGGGCCGGCCCAGCAGGCAUGUGGGUGCCCAAGCCUAGUGUCCUAUCGCAGUCCAUCGUGGACUGUAGGGUGCUAGGUGGUCCAUGGAGGCCAUAUGAACCAAUCACGCGGUCCACGUGCGGUCCAGGAGCAUUUGUGCGUGAUCCGACGGUCCAGAUAAUGUGCGGUCA